ACCCAUUCGAACGUCUGCCUUAUCAACUUUCGAUGGUAGUCGCU
RNAcentral lists this non-coding RNA (44 nucleotides) under Pongo pygmaeus (Bornean orangutan). Lineage: Eukaryota; Metazoa; Chordata; Mammalia; Primates; Hominidae. The record is from RNAcentral.